Molecule: ribosomal RNA, 820 nt
Filed under: uncultured bacterium
Lineage: Bacteria
Description: bacterial SSU rRNA
Rfam family: Bacterial small subunit ribosomal RNA
Source: RNAcentral
AGAGUUUGAUCAUGGCUCAGGACGAGCGCUGGCGGCGUGCCUAAUACAUGCGAGUCGAACGAGAAUUUCUUACACCGAGUGCUUGCACUCACCGUAAGAAAUUCGAGUGGCGGACGGGUGAGUAACACGUGGGUAACCUGCCCAAAAGAAGGGGAUAACAUUUGGAAACAAAUGCUAAUACCGUAUAACCAUGAUGACCGCAUGGUCAUUAUGUAAAAGGUGGUUUUGCUAUCGCUUUUGGAUGGACCCGCGGCGUAUUAACUAGUUGGUAGGGUAACGGCCUACCAAGGUGAUGAUACGUAGCCGAGUUGAGAGACUGAUCGGCCACAAUGGGACUGAGACACGGCCCAUACUCCUACGGGAGGCAGCAGUAGGGAAUCUUCCACAAUGGGCGCAAGCCUGAUGGAGCAACGCCGCGUGAAUGAAGAAGGUCUUCGGAUCGUAAAAUUCUGUUGUUAGAGAAGAAUAUGAGUAAUAGUAACUGAUUAUUCACUGACGGUAUCUAACCAGCAAGUCACGGCUAACUACGUGCCAGCAGCCGCGGUAAUACGUAGGUGGCAAGCGUUGUCCGGAUUUAUUGGGCGUAAAGGGAACGCAGGCGGUUUUUUAAGUCUGAUGUGAAAGCCUUCGGCUUAACCGGAGAUGUGCAUUGGAAACUGGAAGACUUGAGUGCAGAAGAGGAGAGUGGAACUCCAUGUGUAGCGGUGAAAUGCGUAGAUAUAUGGAAGAACACCAGUGGCGAAAGCGGCUCUCUGGUCUGUAACUGACGCUGAGGUUCGAAAGCAUGGGUAGCGAACAGGAUUAGAUACCCUGGUAGUCC